Molecule: unclassified non-coding RNA, 226 nt
Filed under: Glomus sp.
Lineage: Eukaryota; Fungi; Glomeromycota; Glomeromycetes; Glomerales; Glomeraceae
Description: partial contains 5.8S ribosomal RNA and internal transcribed spacer 2
Rfam family: 5.8S ribosomal RNA (bases 1-71)
Source: RNAcentral
GUGAAUCAUCAAAUCUUUGAACGCAAAUUGCACUCUCUGGUAUUCCGGAGAGUAUGCCUGUUUGAGGGUCAGUUUAAAUAAAAAUCGGUGUGGUUGCUUCCUUUCGUGGUGACGCACCGGGUUUGGGUCGUCUGCCCGUCGUUUAAGUGACCUAAAAUUUUGCAUGAUUUUUUUCGAACGUAUUGAAAUGCUUGUACGGACGUUGGCGAUAUCGAAUACUAGGUGU